Molecule: long non-coding RNA, 1487 nt
Filed under: Equus caballus (horse)
Lineage: Eukaryota; Metazoa; Chordata; Mammalia; Perissodactyla; Equidae
Description: lncRNA (ENSECAG00000052710.1)
Source: RNAcentral
UUUUUUUAUCCAGUAAACUUUAUUUAUAUAUAACAACAGUACAAAUUGUGUCCUUGGCUUGCAAAAUAGGAGUGUUUCAUAUUUACAAUAGGUACACAAUAAUAUAUUAGAAUAACAAAAAAACCCCGUUCUAUUGGAACCUUUUAAAUACUUAAUUUUCUUACAAUUUUUAUUCCACAACAACUGUAAAAACAACAAAACCAGACAACUAUCAUUGCAUUUUCUUAAAAAUAUAUAUAUGUAUAAUAGAGAUUCCAGUGUGUCAAGAAGAGUGGGUUCGGGUAGGAGAGGUUGGGGGGAGAGGCAGCUGGGCUCAAGGUCCCUAGUCUUAGUAUAAAGAGCUUCUCCCUUUCUCCCCAACACACUCAAGAACAUCUGCUCUGAUUGGGGGUCACUAUUUUCCAUUACGUUCUUCACCUGUAAUCCCAAUAAGGAGGGCAAAUAAAGCCAAAGUCAGGGCCAUGACUGAAAUCCAGAAGAUGCCUCCCAUCUUCCUUGAGGCUAGGACAGGAGAAACAGGAUGCGUGGCAGGAAGGAUGGAGCCCGGUCUGAAGGUAGAGCCCCUUUAAGGUGAGGAGAACAAGAUAGGAGUGUCCAGGAAAGGCUGAGAAUCUCCCGUUUCCUGGUUGGGCUGAGGCCCUGUCUGACAAGCAGUGGUCUUGAUCAUCUCCCAGGACCUCCCUAAUACCAAGAGUGAAAAUUUAUCUUUCAUCCAUGGGCAUUGCUGAGCCCCAGAUGCUACAACUUCACUCUUUGGGGAAACCAGGAGAAAGGAAAGCGACAGGGAAGACAGACUUUGGAGUUAUGAAGAGGAUGCCGUCAUUUUCUCAAAGCCUGUUCCUGAGACAAGGCAUCAGUGGGCCUGAACUUCAUCUCUCAAGUCUCCCCAUGGGAUCCGCUCCCACAGCCCCAUGUCUACGAGGUUGCUUUGCAUUUUCUCACCCACAGAGUCCCCCGAGUCUCGGAUCUUUCCUGUCCAUGGCCAGCCCCCAGGGACCUCACCUAUGACACAAUGUGGCUGGGAAAAAGCCUCCCCGAGAGCGGCUGCCGGUUCAGUAUUUACCGAUUGCAGGUUGAUGGGGGCAGGUGUGGCAAUGGAGUGCACCUGGAGAUUUAUCAGCCAGAGCCUUUCACACGUCUUCUAUUUGUUCUGCCCAGACCAUUUUUAGUCCAGCACAUCCAUCUAUUACUUCUGCUUCAAGCUCGGCAGGGCCAGAGGCCUUGACUGCUAUUUCUUGUCCUCAUUUGGCGGAAUUGAAGGAAGGUCAGGAGCUCACGCAGCAGGGGAGUGCCCUCAGAAGAGAUGGGGGCAGUGGAAACGAGAGAAGCUCUCAUUGCUGGAGGAAUGUCCCCAGAAUAAGGGAAAGGAAACAAGCCUUUUCGCUCCAGUUUCUCUCAGCAUCUCUUUGUAGGCUUUUUCCUGACAUUUGGAAACAGGAGUUACGGGAGGAAGGACGGACGAAGGGGAAGAAAGAAGGAAGGGGGGC